AGAGUUUGAUCCUGGCUCAGAUUGAACGCUGGCGGCAGGCCUAACACAUGCAAGUCGAACGGUAACAUUUCUAGCUUGCUAGAAGAUGACGAGUGGCGGACGGGUGAGUAAUGCUUGGGAACUUGCCUUUGCGAGGGGGAUAACAGUUGGAAACGACUGCUAAUACCGCAUAAUGUCUACGGACCAAACGGGGCUUAGGCUCCGGCGCAAAGAGAGGCCCAAGUGAGAUUAGCUAGUUGGUAAGGUAAUGGCUUACCAAGGCAACGAUCUCUAGCUGUUCUGUGAGGAAGAUCAGCCACACUGGAACUGAGACACGGUCCAGACUCCUACGGGAGGCAGCAGUGGGGAAUAUUGCACAAUGGGGGAAACCCUGAUGCAGCCAUGCCGCGUGUGUGAAGAAGGCCUUCGGGUUGUAAAGCACUUUCAGUUGUGAGGAAAAGUUAGUAGUUAAUACCUGCUAGCCGUGACGUUAACAACAGAAGAAGCACCGGCUAACUCCGUGCCAGCAGCCGCGGUAAUACGGAGGGUGCGAGCGUUAAUCGGAAUUACUGGGCGUAAAGCGCACGCAGGCGGUUUGUUAAGCUAGAUGUGAAAGCCCCGGGCUCAACCUGGGAUGGUCAUUUAGAACUGGCAGACUAGAGUCUUGGAGAGGGGAGUGGAAUUCCAGGUGU
This 671-nucleotide ribosomal RNA is filed under the name uncultured marine microorganism. RNAcentral describes it as "bacterial SSU rRNA". It matches the Rfam family "Bacterial small subunit ribosomal RNA", at positions 8 to 676 of the family's 1533-position model. The record is from RNAcentral.